RNAcentral lists this ribosomal RNA (482 nucleotides) under uncultured bacterium. RNAcentral's name for it is "partial 16S ribosomal RNA". It matches the Rfam family "Bacterial small subunit ribosomal RNA", at positions 28 to 507 of the family's 1533-position model. The record is from RNAcentral.
GACGAACGCUGGCGGCGUGCUUAACACAUGCAAGUCGAACGCUGAAGCUCAGCUUGCUGGGUGGAUGAGUGGCGAACGGGUGAGUAACACGUGAGUAACCUGCCCUCUUCUUUGGGAUAACGCCCGGAAACGGGUGCUAAUACUGGAUAUUCACUGAUUCUCGCAUGGGGGUUGGUGGAAAGGUUUUUUCUGGUGGGGGAUGGGCUCGCAGCCUAUCAGCUUGUUGGUGGGGUGAUGGCCUACCAAGGCUUUGACGGGUAGCCGGCCUGAGAGGGUGACCGGUCACAUUGGGACUGAGAUACGGCCCAGACUCCUACGGGAGGCAGCAGUGGGGAAUAUUGCACAAUGGGCGAAAGCCUGAUGCAGCGACGCCGCGUGAGGGAUGGAGGCCUUCGGGUUGUAAACCUCUUUCGCUCAUGGUCAAGCCGCAGCUUUGGGUUGUGGUGAGGGUAGUGGGUAAAGAAGCGCCGGCUAACUACGUG